RNAcentral lists this transfer RNA (73 nucleotides) under Fusarium pseudograminearum CS3096. RNAcentral describes it as "tRNA-Tyr (GTA) (tRNA-Tyr-GTA-2-1)". It matches the Rfam family "tRNA". From Rfam's summary of the family: Transfer RNA (tRNA) molecules are approximately 80 nucleotides in length. The record is from RNAcentral. Lineage: Eukaryota; Fungi; Ascomycota; Sordariomycetes; Hypocreales; Nectriaceae.
CCCCGAAUAGCUCAGCUGGAAGAGCGUUCGACUGUAAAUCGAAAGGUCACUUGUUCGAUCCAGGUUUCGGGGN